RNAcentral lists this ribosomal RNA (433 nucleotides) under uncultured bacterium. RNAcentral's name for it is "partial 16S ribosomal RNA". It matches the Rfam family "Bacterial small subunit ribosomal RNA", at positions 29 to 507 of the family's 1533-position model. The record is from RNAcentral.
AACGAACGCUGGCGGCAUGCCUAACACAUGCAAGUCGAACGAGACCUUCGGGUCUAGUGGCGCACGGGUGCGUAACGCGUGGGAACCUGCCCUUAGGUUCGGAAUAACUCCCCGAAAGGGGUGCUAAUACCGGAUAAUGUCUUCGGACCAAAGAUUUAUCGCCUUUGGAUGGGCCCGCGUUGGAUUAGCUAGUUGGUAGGGUAAAAGCCUACCAAGGCGACGAUCCAUAGCUGGUCUGAGAGGAUGAUCAGCCACACUGGGACUGAGACACGGCCCAGACUCCUACGGGAGGCAGCAGUGGGGAAUAUUGGAAAAUGGGCGAAAGCCUGAUCCAGCAAUGCCGCGUGAGUGAUGAAGGCAUUAGGGUUGUAAAGCUAUUUUACCCGGGAUGAUAAUGACAGUACCGGGAGAAUAAGCCCCGGCUAACUCCGUG